AGUAAGAAAACGUGUCUUGAUUAUCACGAGAAUCGAUGGCCAAUCCACUGGCAGUGAACGUCUCUGGACACCAACAGAGUGGGAACGGUAUGUCGGAUUCCGGGGGAAACGACUUCGUCAAGGCAAGAAAGUUGACCAGCCAGUCAAGCUUGACUUGAAGACUGCAGUGUUCGCUCAUCCGUCGUCAGAGACUUGAAGAAGAAAAAACAUACGAUUGUAUUUCUCUCGACCAAAAUUUGCUCGAAAAAAUUAAGUAACCUGAUUACUUAUUAGAAGCCAUCUGUUAUUGUUUUCAUACUCCGAACAGCUGUUCCGCGGGAAACGUCAUGGUGGCUGCUGACCUGACCAGAAAGUUUAAGUGAUAAAAGAUCAAAACUAUUCAUACAGCUUGGUUAUGACCUUUUAUUGUCGUUAUUGAAGUGUAGCCGAGGAAAUCGUAUUGCUUGCUGAAAUUUAACGUGACGUUUGGUGCGUAUUAAUUUUUAUCCUAUCAACUCUCCAGCUGAUUUUGGAUUUAUAGGCAGAGGAAUAUUACCAGAGGUUUGAUGCUAAUUUAGUAAAGAAAGCUACACUAAGCCGUCACAAUGGUUCAUGACAACGCUUUGCACGGACAAGUUGCUUUAAUUGGAAAUAGG
This is a long non-coding RNA of Phymastichus coffea, 635 nucleotides long. RefSeq lists it as uncharacterized. The transcript has 2 exons. NCBI's taxonomy places the organism in Eukaryota, Metazoa, Arthropoda, Insecta, Hymenoptera, Eulophidae. The record is from RefSeq and is a predicted model, not a curated record.